CACCGGAUCCCAUCAGAACUCCG
Molecule: small nuclear RNA, 23 nt
Filed under: Arabidopsis thaliana (thale cress)
Lineage: Eukaryota; Viridiplantae; Streptophyta; Magnoliopsida; Brassicales; Brassicaceae
Description: snRNA_13757
Source: RNAcentral